CCUACGGGAGGCUGCAGUGGGGAAUAUUGGACAAUGGGGGGAACCCUGAUCCAGCCAUGCCGCGUGUGUGAAGAAGGCCCUCGGGUUGUAAAGCACUUUCAGUGAGGAAGAACGCCUGGUGGUUAAUACCCAUCAGGAAAGACAUCACUCACAGAAGAAGCACCGGCUAACUCCGUGCCAGCAGCCGCGGUAAUACGGAGGGUGCGAGCGUUAAUCGGAAUUACUGGGCGUAAAGCGCGCGUAGGUGGCUUGAUAAGCCGGUUGUGAAAGCCCCGGGCUCAACCUGGGAACGGCAUCCGGAACUGUCAAGCUAGAGUGCAAGAGGGGAAGGUAGAAUUCCCGGUGUAGGGGUGAAAUGGGUAGAGAUCGGGAGGAAUACCAGUGGCGAGGGCGGCCUUCUGGACUGACACUGACACUGAGGUGCGAAAGCGUGGGUAGCAAACAGGAUUAGAUACCCUGUAGUC
Molecule: ribosomal RNA, 464 nt
Filed under: Vreelandella stevensii
Lineage: Bacteria; Pseudomonadati; Pseudomonadota; Gammaproteobacteria; Oceanospirillales; Halomonadaceae
Description: partial 16S ribosomal RNA
Rfam family: Bacterial small subunit ribosomal RNA
Source: RNAcentral